GGAAGGAUCAUUACAGAAUCGUCAACGGGUUGUUGCUGGUCCUCGAACGGGGACAUGUGCACGCUCUGUUUACACAUCCACUCACACCUGUGCACCCUCCGUAGUUCUGUGGUCUGGGGGACCCUGUCUUCCUGCCGUGGUUCUACGUCUUUACACACACACUGUAAUAAAGUCUUAUGGAAUGUAUGCCGCGUCUAACGCAAUACAAUACAACUUUCAGCAACGGAUCUCUUGGCUCUCGCAUCGAUGAAGAACGCAGCGAAAUGCGAUAAGUAAUGUGAAUUGCAGAAUUCAGUGAAUCAUCGAAUCUUUGAACGCACCUUGCGCCCCUUGGCUAUUCCGAGGGGCAUGCCUGUUUGAGUAUCAUGAACACCUCAACUCUCAUGGUUCGCCGUGAUGAGCUUGGACUCUGGGGGUUUUGCUGGCCUGCGGUCGGCUCCCCUCAAAUGAAUCAGCCUCCCAGUGUUUGGUGGCAUCACGGGUGUGAUAAAUAUCUACGCUCGCGGUUGUCCGCCAGGUAACCUUUGGCGACAAAGGUUCGCUGGAGCUCACAGAUGUCUCUCCUCAGCGAGGACAGCUUUUUGAACGUUCGAUCUCAAAUCAGGUAGGACUACCCGCUGAACUUAAGCAUAUCA
This 635-nucleotide small RNA is filed under the name uncultured fungus. RNAcentral's name for it is "eukaryotic LSU rRNA". The stretch from base 212 to 366 matches the Rfam family "5.8S ribosomal RNA". The record is from RNAcentral. Lineage: Eukaryota; Fungi.